This 461-nucleotide ribosomal RNA is filed under the name uncultured bacterium. RNAcentral's name for it is "bacterial SSU rRNA". It matches the Rfam family "Bacterial small subunit ribosomal RNA", at positions 335 to 788 of the family's 1533-position model. The record is from RNAcentral.
ACUCCUACGGGAGGCAGCAGUGGGGAAUAUUGCACAAUGGGGGAAACCCUGAUGCAGCCAUGCCGCGUGUGUGAAGAAGGCCUUGGGUUGUAAAGCACUUUCAGUAGGGAGGAAGGUAGUGUAGUUAACACCUGCAUUAUUUGACGUUACCUACAGAAGAAGCACCGGCUAACUCCGUGCCAGCAGCCGCGGUAAUACGGAGGGUGCGAGCGUUAAUCGGAAUUACUGGGCGUAAAGCGCAUGCAGGCGGCUUGUUAAGUCAGAUGUGAAAGCCCGGGGUCUUAACCUCGGAAUUGCAUUUGAAACUGGCAGGCUAGAGUCUUGUAGAGGGGUUAGAAUUUCAGGUGUAGCGGUGAAAUGCGUAGAGAUCUGAAGGAAUACCGAGUGGCGAAGGCGGCCCCUGGACAAAGACUGACGCGUCAGAUGCGAAAGCGUGGGAGCAAACAGGAUUAGAUACCCCU